GUUUGUUGAGAGGAACAGCAUAGGGAAAAACAAGUUCAUCUUGUCAAUUAGCAACAGCUUACUCUUCCUUUGGAUAUAAGAGGGCAGUUGCUGGGGAAAGAUUCUAGCUUGUGGGAGAAGUUAGUGAGGGGAAAGUAUUUUGGUAAUGUCUCAAGUCUUGAUGCUUUCAUGUCUAAGCCGGAUUCUUCGAUAGUUUGGCGAGAUAAUACCAGUGGUGAUUCUAUUCUUUUUCAAGGGCAUGGUGUGUCAGUUUGCAAUGGCAUGUUUACAAGGUUUUAGGAGGGUGUUUGGUUGGUGAUGACCCUUUAGAGAAACUAGUUGUUCAAACUAUUCCAUCUUAGUUGUAAGACUAUACAGUUAUGCAGAUGUGGGCAAGUGAUACUUGGAAUUAGCAUGCUAUCAGGCCUUAUUUGUGGGUUGAGGAUGUUAUGCUUUUGGAGGUUGCAGUGGUUUCUAAUAAUGUUUUUAUUAAGGAUCGUUCUAUGUGUAUAUAGGCACCUCUUUGGGUGAAUUCUUUGUGAAAUUUGCUUAUGCUAUGUCUACUAUGGUUGAUAGAAUUCCAAAGAAUGGAAUCUGGAAAGUGGAUUACGGUUUGCAAGUCUCCUAACAGGUGUGUAUGUUCAUUUGGCUCCUUCUUGAUAAAUUGAUGACUAAUAAAAAAUGAACAAUAUUGUAAGAGGGGUUUUGCGUAGGACAAUGGGUUUUCUUAUGCUUAUUAUGUUGAGAUGGCUACCCAUCUCUUUCGAGAUUGCCCUGAGGCUACGAUGGUUUGGGAGUGUGGGACGGUGCCUCAUGGUCAUCCUUUAGAAGUUAAAAUUUUGAUGGUUGGUUUCUAUAAGAAAAUGAAUGGGUCAGUGUUUUGAGUGUUGAUGCGCCUCCAAUAUAGAUUUUAUGUGUAGUUCUUUGGUGGAUUAGGAGGUAGAGAAAUGAAAGAAUGUUUCAGAAUUCUUGUAUUUCUUUUGUAUCAAAGUUGGUCCGUUUGGUUAGUCAAUUGAAGGUUAACUCUACAGCUUGGUUGAGGUUGGUGUAAGUUCUCCUUCCUCUCAUUUUGUUUCUAUGAUUUGUUGGGCCCCCCCUCAUGAAGGUUGGUUUAAAUUGAACACCAAUGGUGCCAGAGAGGUAACCUUUGGCGUAGUAGAUGUGGUGGGGUCUUGAGAGAUCAUUCGAGUUGAUGGAUUUCUAGUUUCGUUAUCAGGUUCGGAAUUUGUUCUUCCAUGGUUACUGAGCUUCAUGCUUUGGUUCAUGGUCUUCGGUUUCCUUGGAAUAUGGGUUUUAGGAAAGUUGAAGUUAAUUUGGAUUUUUUUGUGGUUACCAACAUGGCUCUUAACAAAUCUCCUGUGGGGUUAAGAAUGCUUGGUUUGUUUAAUCAAUGUAAGAAGCUGCUGCUUCAACCUUGAGAGAUUGUCAUCUCGCAUAGUUACAACAAAAUCUAAUUUUGUUGUUGAUAAGUUAGCAGGUCUUACUGUUAUUAGGGAUGAGGGCCUGCGUGUGUUUGAUGUUUUACCAAAUGAGGUUGUGUCUUUGCUAGUGCAAAAUUCUGUUGGGAUUAGUUGGCCUAAUGCUUUUUUGGGAUUAUUUCCUACCAUUGUAUUUAAAAUAAUACAUGGUGAAAAAUGAAGUGUGAAA
Molecule: unclassified non-coding RNA, 1626 nt
Filed under: Hevea brasiliensis (rubber tree)
Lineage: Eukaryota; Viridiplantae; Streptophyta; Magnoliopsida; Malpighiales; Euphorbiaceae
Source: RNAcentral